This 551-nucleotide ribosomal RNA is filed under the name uncultured Glomeromycotina. Its description in RNAcentral is "SSU rRNA". It matches the Rfam family "Eukaryotic small subunit ribosomal RNA", at positions 548 to 1098 of the family's 1831-position model. RNAcentral also lists the same sequence under 1 other name. Lineage: Eukaryota; Fungi; Glomeromycota. The record is from RNAcentral.
UUGGAGGGCAAGUCUGGUGCCAGCAGCCGCGGUAAUUCCAGCUCCAAUAGCGUAUAUUAAAGUUGUUGCAGUUAAAAAGCUCGUAGUUGAAUUUCGGGAUUUAUCCGUUGGUCGGGCUUUUGGGUCUGUACUGGCGUGAUGGAUUUCUACCUUCUGAAUAACCGGCAUGUCAUUAAUUUGGUGCGCCGGGGAAGCAGGACUGUUACCUUGAAAAAAUUAGAGUGCUUAAAGCAGGCUAUUGCCUGAAUACAUUAGCAUGGAAUAAUGAAAUAGGACGGCAUGGUUCUAUUUUGUUGGUUUCUAGGAUCACCGUAAUGAUUAAUAGGGAUAGUUGGGGGCAUUAGUAUUCAAUUGUCAGAGGUGAAAUUCUUGGAUUUAUUGAAGACUAACUUCUGCGAAAGCAUUUGCCAAGGAUGUUUUCAUUAAUCAAGAACGAAAGUUAGGGGAUCGAAGACGAUCAGAUACCGUCGUAGUCUUAACCAUAAACUAUGCCGACUAGGGAUCGGACGAUGUUAAUUUUUUAAUGACUCGUUCGGCGCCUUACGGGAAAC